This is a long non-coding RNA of Dermacentor silvarum, 482 nucleotides long. RefSeq lists it as uncharacterized. The record is from RefSeq and is a predicted model, not a curated record. The transcript has 3 exons. Lineage: Eukaryota; Metazoa; Arthropoda; Arachnida; Ixodida; Ixodidae.
ACACAUAGUUGCCCGAGAGAGACGCAGCGCCAUCUUGGUCCCCACACCAGUUUGCUCUGUGCUUGCCGCCGUGAGCCGUGCAGCGGAAUCGCGUUUAAUCAUCGUCUAGGCAGCGUCGAAGGCUGUGGAAACGUGUUAAAUGCGGUCAGCGAAGCCUGAGGAGCAAAAAUGCCUGGUUGUUGCGUACCUCUGUGCACUAACCACUGCAGGAAGGGCGUGCGAAUGUUUCGCUUCCCAACCAGCCCGAGCCGAAGAAAACGCUGGCUCGCGCAAGUGAAGCGAGACUGCUGGGAGCCCACCACCGCUUCACGUGUUUGCUAUGCUCAUUUCGAAGAUUCAAGCUUCGAACAGAAAAGGCAAGAUGGCUUGAAGAAAUUGAGGCCAGAUGCCGUUCCAACAGUUUUUGCUUUUCGAGCCGCCCCCAAACAUCGGAAGCCACCAAAGAAGCGCAGCUGUCCUGUGCAGCCUUCCUGCGAUGCCAC